Molecule: long non-coding RNA, 2893 nt
Organism: Drosophila santomea
Lineage: Eukaryota; Metazoa; Arthropoda; Insecta; Diptera; Drosophilidae
Exons: 2
Source: RefSeq, a predicted model, not a curated record
CCCUCCCUAAUCGCCUCGCGCUUUCUCUCUCGCUCUCGUUCUCUCGUUCUGCAGCUCGCAGGAUGCUCUCGAUAGGAUGCAGGGGAAAAGGUCCUUUGAGUAUGCCAGAAAGUAGGACACAAUUCGCUGCGCGACUUGACUUGAUGUGCCAUGUUUGCUCUUGUUGCUCUUGUUGCUCGUGUUGCUCUGCAGUCCUCCAGUUCUGCUGGGUUAUAUUCGCAUUGUGGGUCCUGUCGGGGAUCCUGCGCCCAAAAGAGGCCUGUCAUUCAUGCGAUUUGCAUGCAGCAUUCACCGGGCUUUGUUCCGCCUUGAUUGGAAUGUAAGCUGCUGGUAUCUCAACUCAUUUUUCGAUUUCCUACAUUUGGCUUUUCCGUGUUCUUUAGAAAGUACAUUUAGGUUUUCUAGUUGGCCUAUGCCCCUUUUACAUUUUGACUUGAAUUUUUAUUUGACUUAAAUAUUUUUUGUUUAUCAGACAUAAUCCCUAAACCCCAUUCUCUACUUUUUUAAAUUGAACCACUUGUUUUUUGUUGUCAUCAUUUUGCCCUCCUGCGCAACUCGGUCUUGAGACCUGGCCCAAAAACGUAUCUUUUAAUUGAGUUUUGCAUCAGGAAGCGGACGCCCAUUGUUGUUUUUUUUUUUUUUUUUUGGCCGCACACACGAUGUAAAUGGGUCACUUAGGGAAAAGCGAGGAGUUUCCACGGGGGGUGGGAAGGGGUGGGGUGGCAUACCAAAUGCCAAUCAGCGGGCAUGCCAAUGUGCAGAGUGCAUCAGUGGCGCUGACGGGGAACUGAGGAACGGAACGGAACGGAACGGAACGGAACGGAGAGGAACAGAAUCCAACACAGAAAUCCAUCAGUCAUCGAAAAGCAACAGCCCAAAACUCAAUUACCCACGAUGCCCGGCCUGUCUCUACUGAUUUUACUACCGUCAUCUGGUGUCAUCUGGUGUUUUUGUUUUUGUUGUUCGCAUUGUGACGCGACAUGUUACAACCACCCACUCAACCACCCAACGUCCCCACCACCCCGCGAACCAUCAGUCGCUUUGGCACAGUGGGCGCCUAUCAAAAUCUAUAUUAACUUAUAUGCUGUCAUUGCAUUCUACUUCAUUUAACUGAUUCUCAACGUAAUAAUAGCCGAAAACACAAACUUUUGUCCAACUAAUGUUCUCGAUGUCGUUUUAAGUAGUCCCACUGUUCGAUUGCACAUUCGUUUUUACCCACUGUGCGCUGCGGCAGAGCUUUACGAUAAAAGGCGACGACGUCGUCAUGCUGUCUGGUUCGUUGCGUUUCGGAGUUUGGCUUCGUUUUCGUUUUCGGCUUCGGCUUCGUCCUUUGCCGUUUAUCGUAACUUCAGCGCUGCGUCCUUGUGUGCCGCACAUUCGCAAAAACAUUGCGGCAUUCUGUUUUGGUUGCCCAUUCGCCGACACGAACGCCCCAUCCCUUCGAAUUCCCAACUAACAACGUCGUCGAGUGCAGAGUGCGCGACAAGGGGUUGCAGUCAUUCAGCAGAGGAGUGGCGGCAAUAAAAAGUGUGUGGCUACACUGGGAGAAAUUACCCACUGCUGCCCCUUCACUAUAUUAUUUCCCUUUUCUUAUAUAAGUUUGGAAACAUGGUUACAAGUACGAGACGGUAAGUAAUAAGCAGUGUUUAGUUUUAAGCAACUUAGUUGCCUUUUUUGUACACUUCUAAGUUAUAUUUCACGUUCAGUGUAAGGACACGGCAUUUAAGGAUUUGCGUCGCAAAUCGCCAACUGCGACGUAGUUGCAUCAAGGGGCAUAAAAGCAGCAAAGUCGAGGGUUACAGGCGGUAGGUUAGAUUCUAUCGAAUCGCUGGCAGCCGCACCCUGAACCCAGAUCCCGGAUUCCGGAUUCCGGAUUCCGGAUUCCAAAUGACAAAUCCCCGCCAGGCGGAGACGUGUGACCCAGAUGCCACUCACUAAUCCCCGCAGUGGAAAAAUGCGCCGCAAAAGCCUGGCAAUUGAUGAGAGACUCCCUAAUCAACCGGCUGUCUGUCUGUCUGUCUGUCUGUCUCUUUGAUGAUAAUGCGCAAUUGAAGAUAUAAUAUUUUGAAUAAUGCGCUGUUAUCCUUAAGCUAAAACAAAAGCACGUAUGAAUCUCCGACUUGUUGUUCUUCUCAAUUGGCAGCAAUAACCCGGGUGGGUUCUAUAAUUAUUGCGUCCUUUCAUCUGCAGCCCCUUUUGGCAACCCUCGUAGCAGUUGAGGUCUUUAUCGGUGGCUUAAAUUAGCACUUCUAAAACAAAGUAUGGAGCAUUGGGAGUCCAGCCACCGAGAUCCUUGGGCCUACCACAAAAAAACCUUGUGCCUAAUCGGGUGACAAUGUUUUGCCGCGAAUAGAUGAUGGGCAUUUGUUCUUUUUUUGGUUUUUUAAACGAACUGAGUGGAGCCAAAUCAAUAACGAGAAACUACACCGCAAGAAAUGUAGCCAAAUGGGAAACGCUGUGUGUUGCAGUGUUAAGUUCGCCAUGUACAACAAGUGGAACACAAGUCGAGGAUGGUGCUUCUCAAGUGAGGCUGACAACUCUGGCCAAAUGCCAAGCAUCGAUAGUUUGCGACGCUCUCCUUUUGCCACCCAUUGUGUUGGCAAAUUGCAGAAACUCACGAAUGUAAGUCAUUCGUACAAUGACUCUUUGGUGGCGGAGACAAAGCCAUAGUUCCACGGAUUCCACUGCCACCCAGCGGCUGGGCAUGGAGCUGCUGGGGAUGCAAUACACUGCGCAAAAUGAACAUCGACGCGAGGAACUGCGUACUUCAAAUCGAGAAGUUGCCACUGCGAGCAAAGAAAUCAAUAUAUUGUAUUACUGAUUAUUACUUUCGAAAUCAUUACUAAUAUUUCUGAAUAAAUAUGCUGCUUAUUUUUUAGCAGUGUAUGUAGUA